Molecule: microRNA precursor, 103 nt
Filed under: Marmota monax (woodchuck)
Lineage: Eukaryota; Metazoa; Chordata; Mammalia; Rodentia; Sciuridae
Source: RNAcentral
UUAUGAAUCACCUGGGAAUCUUAUAAAAGUGCAGAUUCAGGUUCAGUGUUUGGGGUGCAGCCUGAGAUUCUGCAUUUCUAAUGAGUUCCCAGCUGGAGCUGAU